Molecule: transfer RNA, 73 nt
Filed under: Myotis davidii
Lineage: Eukaryota; Metazoa; Chordata; Mammalia; Chiroptera; Vespertilionidae
Rfam family: tRNA
About the family: Transfer RNA (tRNA) molecules are approximately 80 nucleotides in length. Their secondary structure includes four short double-helical elements and three loops (D, anti-codon, and T loops).
Source: Rfam by way of RNAcentral
GCCGGUGUGGCUCAGCGGAGAGAGCAUCAGCCUGCGGACUGAAGGGUCCCGGGUUCGAUUCCGGUCAAGGGCA